GGGUCAGGUGUCAGCCAGGUUACCUGAGCUUCUUAACCCUUUAUAGGUAAAAGGAUUUAGGAGUCUCUGGCCAGGAGGGAUUUUAUAGUAUUGUACACAGGAGGGCUGUUACCCUUCCCUCUAUAGUUAUGACACAGGGCCUGACAAAUAACCUCAGUGGCCUAGCAGGGACAACUCCAUGAGCAGAACCCUGUCUGGGGCAGACAUAAAGGGGUUUUGUCUAGAGCCCAGUGACCGGCUAAUCUGGCCCUGUGAAUCACCAUAGGAGACUUGGUGGCAAAGCACUGGCAAGUGACACCUCCAUGAUCCGAGUUAAGGGAGCAGACCUUGUAGACCAGGCCCAAGGCUGGUAGCCAGCGAGCAAUAGCCAAACUGCUGGUUGAUCCAAUCUCUUACCAGAGCAAAUCACACACAGCAUCACUGUCGCCGUGAAAUGUGUCUCCUGAUGUUCUGGGCAGCCUCUCUAGGACCAGGACUCCCUCACCCUAGAAUCCCUGUUGAUACUGGGGACUCUGAACAAUCGUGGGUCUCCAUAGAAAUGCCCCUUCUCCCCCCUCCCUGGGAUCAGGAUGUCUCCUUUCAUUGUCCCAUUGACUCAGUGACAUUUGUGGAUGAUGCCCCCGUAGAGCCGUGGCCUGGGGAUGUGGAGGCUCUGAGGGGCAGGGAGAUUUCAGUGGGAUGGGUUUAUUGGUAGGGCCCAGAAGGAUCUGGAGUGGUGUGUCUUAGAGGUGAGUUCUCCUUCCAGGUCUUUUCUUCUUCUUCUUUUGUUCUUUCUGCUGGUCUCCUUCUUGGACCACAGUUUGUAUAGUGAAACUUGAGUCCUGCUUAACUAUACCUUAACCAAUCAUUUUACUAAAAUUUUACUAGCCAAUCCUAACAUGUUGUACCAAAAUUCUCUAACCAAUCAUACCCCACCCCCUUAAUUAAUUUACACCUACCAAAAUCAAUUAUGUAACAAACAGAAACAAUCAAAGAAUCAGACAGAGGUCAUCCACCCAAAUAGUAGAGAAGUUGGGACCAUAAAGACAAAACAAUAAAGAAAUGAGGAUUUCACAACCACAACUAUUGUGUGGAAGAGUCCAGAGCGUCUGUCUGCAGGGAGAGAGCCUGGGGGGAAUCGGGCUGUGACAUGCACUCAAGCUCCUUCUGAAACCUUCCCAAUCGCCCUGACAGGCUGAGGAAUCACAUCCAGAUUUCACUCAAGAUCGUCCCGUCUUCCAGGGGACAGGGAAGGGAAAUGGCUGUGAUGGAGUCAGCUCAGUUGCCGGUGACCUUCGAGGAGGUGGCUGUGUAUUUCACCCAGGGGCAGGGAGCUCUGCUG
This is a non-coding RNA of Chrysemys picta bellii (western painted turtle), 1321 nucleotides long. Lineage: Eukaryota; Metazoa; Chordata; Testudines; Emydidae. The record is from RefSeq and is a predicted model, not a curated record.